Molecule: ribosomal RNA, 493 nt
Filed under: uncultured bacterium
Lineage: Bacteria
Description: bacterial SSU rRNA
Rfam family: Bacterial small subunit ribosomal RNA
Source: RNAcentral
GAUGAACGCUAGCGGAAGGCUUAAUACAUGCAAGUCGAGCGGUAGGUGGCUUCGGCCAUUGAGAGCGGCGCACGGGUGAGUAACGCGUACAUGACCUGCCUGUCAGAAGGGGAUAGCCCUGGGAAACUGGGAUUAAUACCCUAUGGUAUUGAUAUUAUGAAUGAUAUCAAUUAAAGUUGAGGCGCUGACAGAUGGAUGUGCGUCUGAUUAGCUAGUUGGUAGGGUAACGGCCUACCAAGGCGACGAUCAGUAGGGGGCGUGAGAGCGUGGUCCCCCACACGGGUACUGAGACACGGACCCGACUCCUACGGGAGGCAGCAGUAAGGAAUAUUGGUCAAUGCCCGCAAGGGUGAACCAGCCAUUCCGCGUGGAGGAUGAAGGCCCUAUGGGUUGUAAACUUCUUUUAGAUGGGAAGAAAAUGCUAGAUGUAUCUGGUACUGACGGUACCAUCAGAAUAAGCACCGGCUAACUACGUGCCAGCAGCCGCGGUAAU